This 734-nucleotide long non-coding RNA is filed under the name Equus caballus (horse). RNAcentral describes it as "lncRNA (ENSECAG00000060091.1)". Lineage: Eukaryota; Metazoa; Chordata; Mammalia; Perissodactyla; Equidae. The record is from RNAcentral.
GCAUGCUCCAAACUUCAGAGCAGGCAAAGAGGAAGAUUGGCCCUGAGCAAACAUCUGUAGCCUAUCUUUCUCUCUUCUUUUUUUCCUCCCCAAAGCUCCAGUACCUAGUUGUAUAGCCUAGUUGUAGAUCAUUCUAGCUCUUUUAUGUGGGAUGUGGCCACAGCAUGGCCUGAUCAGCAGUGUGUAGGUCCAUGCCCCGGAUCUGAACCAGUGAACCCUGGGCUGCCAAAGUAGGGCACAUGAACAUAACCACUGGGCCAUGGAGCCAGCCCCAAUUGAUGGGUUUUAAACAGUGGAGUGACAGGAUCUGAUUUGUUCAUUUGCUCUGUGGCUGCAGAGUUGAGAGCAGGCAGAUAGUUGCUGAGCUAAUAUCUGUGCCAAUGUUGCCCUAAUUUGUAUGUGGGACGCUGCCACAGCAUGGCUUGAUGAGUGGUGUGUAGGUCUGCGCCUGGGAUCUGAACCUGUGAACCCCGGACCGCCGAAGCAGAGCAUGUGAACUUAACCACUAUGCCACCUGGCUGGCCUGCCUUGAAUAACGUUUUUAAUGUAUAAAAUAACAUAUAUAGGAUUUCAAAGAUUACUGAUUAUAUGCCUUACGGUUAUCAAAACAUUUAAAGAAAUUUAUGACAUAGUAAAGAACAUGAUUCUUUAGUCUCACAAUAAUUAACAAGAUUCUGGCAAUGAUUGUAAGAUUUUCUAUAAUUUCAAAAUCAUGACAAAGUAAACAAUAUUUG